UACGUAGGGUCCGAGCGUUGUCCGGAAUUACUGGGCGUAAAGAGCUCGUAGGUGGUUUGUCGCGUUGUUCGUGAAAACUCACAGCUUAACUGUGGCGUGCGGGCGAUACGGGCAGACUUGAGUACUGCAGGGGAGACUGGAAUUCUGGUGUAGCGUGGAAUGCGCAGGAUAUCAGGAGGAACACCGGUGGCGAAGGCGGUUCUC
This 204-nucleotide ribosomal RNA is filed under the name uncultured bacterium. RNAcentral describes it as "partial 16S ribosomal RNA". It matches the Rfam family "Bacterial small subunit ribosomal RNA", at positions 524 to 729 of the family's 1533-position model. The record is from RNAcentral.